This 328-nucleotide ribosomal RNA is filed under the name uncultured soil bacterium. Its description in RNAcentral is "bacterial SSU rRNA". It matches the Rfam family "Bacterial small subunit ribosomal RNA", at positions 26 to 366 of the family's 1533-position model. The record is from RNAcentral.
AGAUUGAACGCUGGCGGCAUGCCUAACACAUGCAAGUCGAACGGGAGUAGCAAUACUCUAGUGGCGGACGGGUGAGGAAUACGUAGGAAUUUGCCCUUAAGUGGGGGAUAACCCGGGGAAACCCGGAUUAAUACCGCAUGACCUCGAAAGAGCAAAGUGGGGGAUCGCAAGACCUCACGCUUUUGGAGAAGCCUACGUCGGAUUAGCUAGUUGGUGAGGUAAUGGCUCACCAAGGCGACGAUCCGUAACUGGUCUGAGAGGAUGAUCAGUCACACCGGAACUGAGACACGGCCCAGACUCCUACGGGAGGCAGCAGUGGGGAAUAGUU